This 497-nucleotide ribosomal RNA is filed under the name uncultured bacterium. RNAcentral describes it as "partial 16S ribosomal RNA". It matches the Rfam family "Bacterial small subunit ribosomal RNA", at positions 28 to 507 of the family's 1533-position model. The record is from RNAcentral.
GAUGAACGCUGGCGGCGUGCCUAAUACAUGCAAGUCGAGCGAACAGAUAAGGAGCUUGCUCCUUUGACGUUAGCGGCGGACGGGUGAGUAACACGUGGAUAACCUACCUAUAAGACUGGGAUAACUUCGGGAAACCGGAGCUAAUACCGGAUAACAUAUUGAACCGCAUGGUUCAAUAGUGAAAGGCGGCUUUGCUUUCACUUAUAGAUGGAUCCGCGCCGUAUUAGCUAGUUGGUAAGGUAACGGCUUACCAAGGCAACGAUACGUAGCCGACCUGAGAGGGUGAUCGGCCACACUGGAACUGAGACACGGUCCAGACUCCUACGGGAGGCAGCAGUAGGGAAUCUUCCGCAAUGGGCGAAAGCCUGACGGAGCAACGCCGCGUGAGUGAUGAAGGUCUUCGGAUCGUAAAACUCUGUUAUCAGGGAAGAACAAAUGUGUAAGUAACUGUGCACAUCUUGACGGUACCUGAUCAGAAAGCCACGGCUAACUACGUG